Molecule: ribosomal RNA, 738 nt
Filed under: uncultured beta proteobacterium
Lineage: Bacteria; Pseudomonadati; Pseudomonadota; Betaproteobacteria
Description: bacterial SSU rRNA
Rfam family: Bacterial small subunit ribosomal RNA
Source: RNAcentral
GGCAUGCUUUACACAUGCAAGUCGAACGGUAACAGGUCUUCGGAUGCUGACGAGUGGCGAACGGGUGAGUAAUACAUCGGAACGUGCCUAGUAGUGGGGGAUAACUACUCGAAAGAGUAGCUAAUACCGCAUGAGAUCUACGGAUGAAAGCAGGGGACCUUCGGGCCUUGUGCUACUAGAGCGGCUGAUGGCAGAUUAGGUAGUUGGUGGGGUAAAGGCUUACCAAGCCUGCGAUCUGUAGCUGGUCUGAGAGGAUGACCAGCCACACUGGGACUGAGACACGGCCCAGACUCCUACGGGAGGCAGCAGUGGGGAAUUUUGGACAAUGGGCGAAAGCCUGAUCCAGCAAUGCCGCGUGCAGGAUGAAGGCCCUCGGGUUGUAAACUGCUUUUGUACGGAACGAAAAGCCUGGGGCUAAUACCCCCGGGUCAUGACGGUACCGUAAGAAUAAGCACCGGCUAACUACGUGCCAGCAGCCGCGGUAAUACGUAGGGUGCAAGCGUUAAUCGGAAUUACUGGGCGUAAAGCGUGCGCAGGCGGUUUUGUAAGACAGUGGUGAAAUCCCCGGGCUCAACCUGGGAACUGCCAUUGUGACUGCAAGGCUAGAGUGCGGCAGAGGGGGAUGGAAUUCCGCGUGUAGCAGUGAAAUGCGUAGAUAUGCGGAGGAACACCGAUGGCGAAGGCAAUCCCCUGGGCCUGCACUGACGCUCAUGCACGAAAGCGUGGGGAGCAAACAGG